ACAUUGAUGGGCCAGAAAUUCCUCGAGUCCUGUUCGUGCUGUGCCUUACAUGUAGCAGACGUGCAGCAAAUAUUUGUUGAAUGAUUGGAAUCCCAGGGGCUUGUUUCAAUUGCAGCGAAACCAGACACAGCACUGGGCUGUGCGCCGCUUUGUGUCCCAGCCUCAGGUCUCCGAUGCAGCACCUGGAAGGGAGGAGGGGGCUCAGGUCGUGGGGCCUGUCUGGCACCCAUGUGGUGCUGGAGAUCCUGACGUCAUGCUGAGGCCGCCACUGGCAUGGAGGAGCCCAGCCCUUACAGGAGUCCCUGGAACCUCCAACUGGAUAAAUCCCAAAGCACUGAGUUCCCUUCCAACUUUCCAACUCCCCCAGAUUCUCCUUUGGAAGACACUGGGAUAAAAUGGUGGAAAAGCUGAAAUUUAUGCCUGUGGAAUCUGAGGCACGAACAUUUCCCGAGAUCUGUAAAUCAGCUGCCGUGCCCAAAGCGCCAGCAGCCUCGUAGCCCGCAGAAAGCCCGCGCGUGACCGUGUCCACGGCUUCUACAGCUCGAGAGCAGGAGCCGGCUCUGGGCUGAAGAUGAAGUUCUGACCUCCCACAGCCCCUGGUUCGGUUUUCUGAGUUCCUUGGGAUCUUUGUCAUGAGAAAAAGCUGAGAAUGGGAGCGAAGCAGGUGGAAGUGGAAACUGUGAAAGGGACUCUCGCCCGCAAACCUGCCUGGAUGUCAAAAUGAUUCAAACCGAAGUCUCCAAGCCAAGGGCUUUCAGUCUUCUGAGAGCUGGAGAAUCGUCUAGCAUUUCUCUGGAUUCAAGGACCCUCUAGGGUUCUUCUGGGAGGGGGAUGUUCUGAAGGCUUGGUGACCACCCUACUUCAUGUGUCUUGUGUAUGAAUGGAUGCAAUUAAAACAGAAAUCAUUGGUUGAAUUCA
Non-coding RNA from Oryctolagus cuniculus (rabbit), 918 nucleotides. NCBI's taxonomy places the organism in Eukaryota, Metazoa, Chordata, Mammalia, Lagomorpha, Leporidae. The record is from RefSeq and is a predicted model, not a curated record.